AGUCAACGGACAAUCCCAGUCAGCGGUAAAAAAAACGGUUCAAGCGUAUGUAUGUACAUACAUAUGUAUGUACAUACAAAUGUGUGUAAUCUUUAAUUUCGAUUCAUUUCAGCAUUUGAACACCAUUUACCAUUUAUUGGCUUUAACUGUAGACUAGGCAAGAAAAACCUUGCAAACUUAAACAUAUGGCACUUAGUAAGCAUAAAUUCUUAAUUUCCAUUUCCCGCCCCAUCUUUGGCCGCUGCAUAUUGCAAUCCCUUCAGCAGUGGCGAGUCCUCCACAUCAUUAUUCUUCACAGGCUCCAACGAGCUAUUCGUCUCGAUGGAACUAAUCUCGAUCUUGUGCAUCAGGCUCUUCUGCCAGAUCAUUUGAUGGGGAUACCAGAAUACCAUCAGCAAACCCAAGACCACGCCCAGGAUGCCACAGAUCUUGCCCACAAACUCAAGGAUCGGCAUUAGCUUCACGUAGACCAGAAGAUCAUCCGUGAUGCGGACAUUGUAAUCCGCCCAGAUCAACGGAAAGAAUGUUCUUCUCGCCGUCCGGCCCCAAUACUUACAAAUGAGUUUUGGGCUCCACCAGCAAGUUGGCCAUAAUGCGCGCCUUGAUCUCCAGCACCAUUCCCGUUUUGGGCUCCAACAUAAUGACCAUCUCGUGGCGAUCCUUGUCGGGCUUCAUGCCCUCCACCUGCUCUCCGUAGUAGGGAUCAGCUUUGAAGAAGUGCGGAUACGAAGCAAAGACAGGCGUUCCAUACCAACAGGAGGAUAUGUUGAGAAGACCGGAUCUCACCUCCUGGCAGUUAUCCUGGCAAUAGCAACUGUUAUCCGGGUUAUCAGUACCUGGUAUGGAAAAGGUGAUUAAUAGAUAAACUAGCAAUUUCACUCCUGAUUAUCCAGUACUUACCAUUUGCCAUAUUGCGUGCACUGCCUCUGUAAACGAAAGCAUCGAUGCCCUCGAAGAUUGUGGUGCCGGAGUAGUCCACCUGCAGCUCACGGCACAGAUCCGGCAGGAAGUAGGAGAUGGGUCUGCCCUUUACCAGCGGUAUUGGAUGGAAUUCUCCGGCGCUGCCCUUCAACUUGCACCUGGGACUGGCCUCAGUGACAUUGUUGUAGCGCCACCUGGCUAUUUGACCCAGUUUUUGGAACUCAUCCCGUCCCGUGUACACAUUGUGAUGCCCGUAGAUUUCCAUGCUGCCAUUGCGCUGCAGGAAUUAUGUAUUUUAAUUGUGGAACUAUUAAAUAUAUAUCGCCUCCUAACUCACUGGAUACGCAUAGCCGAUCUUCUCAUAGGGGAACUUCAUCUCCGGCACAAGACUUGGUGGCACCAUUUUGCUCAUCUUGAUCAUCGGCGUGUCGAAGCCGUCGAACAUCCAAUCGCUGGCUGGCCGUAUCAUGGCCUGCUCCUUGCCGUAGAUAUUCAGGGCCAAGAGCAUGAGGGAACGCAGCAUGGGACUCCACAUGACCAUCUUCUGGUACAGUCCCACAAUGAGCAGGUUGGGCGCCACAAUGGGAUCUGUAGGACGUCCGACACUAAGUUUCGGAUCGAAAUCGAAUCGACUGCGACGUCGAUAGGAAACCGUCGAGUUCUCAUCGUGCCACUCCACAUUGACCUUCUGCAUCCGUUCGGUGAAGCGAUACGGACC
This is a non-coding RNA of Drosophila melanogaster (fruit fly), 1639 nucleotides long. The record is from Ensembl. Lineage: Eukaryota; Metazoa; Arthropoda; Insecta; Diptera; Drosophilidae.